RNAcentral lists this ribosomal RNA (497 nucleotides) under uncultured bacterium. RNAcentral describes it as "partial 16S ribosomal RNA". It matches the Rfam family "Bacterial small subunit ribosomal RNA", at positions 28 to 507 of the family's 1533-position model. The record is from RNAcentral.
GAUGAACGCUGGCGGCGUGCCUAAUACAUGCAAGUCGAGCGAACAGACGAGGAGCUUGCUCCUCUGACGUUAGCGGCGGACGGGUGAGUAACACGUGGAUAACCUACCUAUAAGACUGGGAUAACUUCGGGAAACCGGAGCUAAUACCGGAUAAUAUAUUGAACCGCAUGGUUCAAUAGUGAAAGACGGUUUUGCUGUCACUUAUAGAUGGAUCCGCGCCGCAUUAGCUAGUUGGUAAGGUAACGGCUUACCAAGGCAACGAUGCGUAGCCGACCUGAGAGGGUGAUCGGCCACACUGGAACUGAGACACGGUCCAGACUCCUACGGGAGGCAGCAGUAGGGAAUCUUCCGCAAUGGGCGAAAGCCUGACGGAGCAACGCCGCGUGAGUGAUGAAGGUCUUCGGAUCGUAAAACUCUGUUAUUAGGAAAGAACAAAUGUGUAAGUAACUAUGCACGUCUUGACGGUACCUAAUCAGAAAGCCACGGCUAACUACGGG